UAACGGCGAGUGAAGCGGCAAGAGCUCAACUUUGGAAUCGCUCCGGCGAGUUGUAGUCUGGAGGUGGCCACCACGAGGUGUUCUAGCAGCAGGCAAGUCCUUUGGAACAAGGCGCCAGCGAGGGUGACAGCCCCGUACCUGCUUUUGCUAGUGCUUCCUGUGGCCCACCGACGAGUCGAGUUGUUUGGGAAUGCAGCUCUAAGUGGGUGGUAAAUUCCAUCUAAGGCUAAAUAUUGGCGAGAGACCGAUAGCGAACAAGUACAGUGAUGGAAAGAUGAAAAGCACUUUGAAAAGAGAGUGAAACAGUACGUGAAAUUGUUGAAAGGGAAGGGCUUGCACCCAGACACGGUUUCGGCCGGGCCAGCAUCAAGUAGAACGGGGUUAAAAGACCUGGGGAAUGUAGCUACCUCUUGGUAGUGUUAUAGCCCUUGGGUGAUGACCCCUGUUUUGCUUGAGGACAGCGGUCUCUAGGAUGCUGGCGCAAUGGUUGCAAGCCACCCGUCUUGAAACACGGACCAAGGAGUCUAACGUCUAUGCGAGUGUACGGGUGAAAAACCCCUGCGCGGAAUGAAAGUAAGAGGUUGGAACCCUCUCGGGGGUGCACAAUCGACCGACCCAGAAGUGCUCGGACGGGUUUGAGUAGGAGCAUAGCUGUUGGGACCCGAAAGAUGGUGAACUAUACCUGAAUAGGGUGAAGCCAGAGGAAACUCUGGUGGAGGCUCGUAGCGGUUCUGACGUGCAAAUCGAUCGUCGAAUUUGGGUAUA
RNAcentral lists this ribosomal RNA (765 nucleotides) under Candidozyma auris. RNAcentral describes it as "eukaryotic LSU rRNA". It matches the Rfam family "Eukaryotic large subunit ribosomal RNA", at positions 84 to 919 of the family's 3401-position model. Lineage: Eukaryota; Fungi; Ascomycota; Pichiomycetes; Serinales; Metschnikowiaceae. The record is from RNAcentral.